GGUCUCCUUGUGCUUGCCAUCGCCUGCAUGCCCGCUGGCUGUCUCAAAAAAGGAGGCACAGUAAACCCAGCCCACGGGCCCCUCAGCCCAGGCCCUUUGCCUGGUCUGUAUCAUGAAUGGAGAGACGUGG
Molecule: small nucleolar RNA, 130 nt
Organism: Sorex araneus (European shrew)
Lineage: Eukaryota; Metazoa; Chordata; Mammalia; Eulipotyphla; Soricidae
Source: Ensembl